CUGUACACACCCUUAAUCUGCAGCCUCUCCCCUGGUUUUAGUGGUUUAUCCACUUAAUAAUCUUCACCACCUAAACUGUACGGGCCUGAUUUUUCAGAUUUCCCGGUUCAGCCUGUGAUUUUUUAGAUGCCAAAUUGCACCUACAGCUUGGUUAGAGCAAUUUUUCACGGACUUAUUUCAAAGCUUGUGUGUGUAAAUUCCCUGCAGGGGUAAAAAGAGGCAGCUACAGUUACUUUAAGGAGAAUUUGGUGCUGCCUGUCCAUCUACACAGGUAUGCAUGCACACUUGCACCCAUAGAAUUGGGGACCCUUGUUUACAAGUCAUUCCUGGGCCCAAUUCAGUCUUCAUUUUCACUUCUGCAGUUCCACUGAGGUCAAUCAGUUUGCUUCGGUGAAAACCAAGGCAGGAUUUGCCUAUUGUCUACAGUGUUUUGUAAUGCCUACAGCCAAUAAGAUGACAUUCUAGGCUGGUGUUUUCUUGCUAGUACCCAAACUAUGAUUCCAUUAAUAUCGUUUUUUCACCAAAAAAAUUAAUGGCCAUUAAUAGCACUGGAUCAUCAGUCUCUCUUGGCAUUGCAUGGAUUAUUUCUUCUAAGAUUUUUAUGUACCAUACACAAACUUUUAUAUGUCCUACUUUCUAUUACCCUUCUCCAGUCCCUUCUCUUCCUGCCCCCUCAACCAGUUUGGGUAAAUUGAAAUUUUACAGCACAUAGUAGUCAGUGUAUAACAUGUAAAAAGAAACCUAUAAAAUAGACACUCAAAAUUAUCCUGGUGCCUGAGGACACACGUAGGCUUCAGGGUUUAAUGAAUAAGUUUGGAAAGACCUCUGCAGAGUGGGCAUUCUAGACAUUUACACCAUGGCUGAGAGCUACAUCAAAAUCAACCAUGGCUUCUCACAUACAGCAGAUUUAUAUGUGCAUAUACAUAUAUGUGCAGGCAAUAGACAGGGAAAGAGAUAUAUGCAAGUACACACUGAUAUUACAUGCAACACCAAGACAAAAUAAUCUACCAAAAUAUAUCUCCUCCCAAGGAUAAAAUGUAGUGAUUUAAGCCCAUUCCUAUAUGCAAUGCAUGUUGCAGGAUGAGAGUCUACAUUUUCAGCUCUAGACAAGUAAGACCCAAGAAAAAUGCCUUCUCUUCUCAAUCAGUGACUUAGUUGGGAAUGAUGGACAGAAAUCCUGCUCCUACUGAAAUCUUUGGGAGUUUUGCUCACUGGAAACUAGAUUAGACCUAGAAUGUGACAAGAAUUGUGAAUAACUAAUUCAGCACACGUGUUUGUGAAUGGAGAGAUCCUGUUGUAAGAGACAGGGUGGCUACACAAACAAGUUACCACAAGGUAAGUUACUGGGUGAGGCACUGUAAAUUUUUACCCUAGCUAACCUUGGGGUGACAUCCUUGUAUAGCUGUACUCAAAACUGGUGUGCUGACAUGCAGAGUGAAGGGGUUUUUCAUACUGUUGCUGGUGACUAAAACAGACCAAUUAUUUUCAAGUGUGUGACUUUAAUUCAAGAAAAAAAUGAUUGCACAAUCAUGUAUGUGUGUUUGCGUGUUUGUAAAAAUCAGACCAAUGACACUCUGUGCGCCUUUUUGUUUCACUGUGGUGUGUUAAAGCAGCCUUAUUUUUUGACUGGUAUGACAUGCACUCUGAAAAAGAGCUUCUUAACUCUGUCAUUUUCAAGGUUACCAUAAUGUUACUUAGUUUUUUUACAGGAGGAAAGUGCUACCGCUUUCUGCAUGAGAAAAUGAUGAUAACUUGUUGGAGAUUGUAUGCUGUUCACACUGUGGUCCCAGAAAAUAGCAAAAGACCAGGUAUUAACUCAGAUUCUGAUCCAGCUAAGCACAUAACCACAUGCAUAAAGUUAAACGUGUUUAAGCACUUUUGCUGAAGCAAGGCCUUACAAAAUCUGAGAAUUUUAUAAGCAAUUGUUUACAUGAUUGGUGAACUACUUGGCAUUGGUGUUUGAUCCUUAGUUGUUACCUGCUCUAAUACAGAAUUUCUCAAUGUUCACAACUUAAUAGGGGUGAGACCACAGGUGAGAAGUUUUAAUGGGCUGUAUUCUGACAUAUCUGCUAACUAUGAUGCUGCACUAGAAGUAUAUUGCACUAGUUAUUUCCAUUACAGAAGUUGAUGUAAUGCAGCUAGUUACUACGGACAUCAAACUCCUCCUCUUUCCAUAGACAAGUUGUAACAGGAGAAGAAAAAUGGUUUCUGUAAUGGCAGCACAACAGCUGUUAGCCCUAGUGCUAU
Long non-coding RNA from Gavialis gangeticus (Gharial), 2247 nucleotides. RefSeq lists it as uncharacterized. Lineage: Eukaryota; Metazoa; Chordata; Crocodylia; Gavialidae. The record is from RefSeq and is a predicted model, not a curated record. The transcript has 2 exons.